GGAGGGUGCAAGCGUUAAUCGGAAUUACUGGGCGUAAAGCGCACGCAGGCGGUUGGAUAAGUUAGAUGUGAAAGCCCCGGGCUCAACCCGGGAAUUGCAUUUAAAACUGUCCAGCUAGAGUCUUGUAGAGGGGGGUAGAAUUCCAGGUGUAGCGGUGAAAUGCGUAGAGAUCUGGAGGAAUACCGGUGGCGAAGGCGGCCCCCUGGACAAAGACUGACGCUCAGGCGCGAAAGCGUGGGGAGCAAACAGGAUUAGAUACCCUGGUAGUCCACGCCGUAAACGAUGUCGAUUUGGAGGCUGUGUCCUUGAGACGUGGCUUCCGGAGCUAACGCGUUAAAUCGACCGCCUGGGGAGUACGGCCGCAAGGUUA
Molecule: ribosomal RNA, 370 nt
Filed under: uncultured bacterium
Lineage: Bacteria
Description: bacterial SSU rRNA
Rfam family: Bacterial small subunit ribosomal RNA
Source: RNAcentral